AUAACGGCGCUGGCACCGCCCCUUCUCGAUAACUCGCAGAGCUGGGCUGGUAAAAUUGCAGUGCUAAGAACACUGGACCCGCAAAAGGCUGUCCCUCCCAAACCUGGGAUUCUGGGCUCACUGAGUUCACCUGCGAGUCAGCCCUACCUGCACUGCUCUGGUCUAGUACAAACAGGCUGCUGGCAUUGAGGGACGGAGUCUCCAACUCCUGGCCUCUAGCAGUCCUCCUGUGUAGGUCUCCCAAAGUGCUAGUAUGUCCAGAAUUGGUGGGUUCUUGGUCUCACUGACUUCAAGAAUGAAGCCGCGGACCCUCGCGGUGAGUGUUACAGUUCUUAAAGGCGGCGUGUCCGGAGUUUGUUCCUUCUGAUGUUCAGAUGUGUUCGGAGUUUCUUCCUUCUGGUGGGUUCGUGGUCUUGCUGGCUCAGGAGUGAAGCUGAAGACCUUCACAUCAGUCUGACCCACAGUUGUCCUCUGCUGACUUCAGAAAUAAUAAUCUGGCCAGUAGACAUUCGGUUUCGGUCCUUUAGGCCCUUCGCCUCAGGCAUUG
This 547-nucleotide small RNA is filed under the name Pongo abelii (Sumatran orangutan). RNAcentral describes it as "processed transcript". The record is from RNAcentral. Lineage: Eukaryota; Metazoa; Chordata; Mammalia; Primates; Hominidae.